UUCAGAAAAUCUCUGAAGAAAGAAGAAAGGAAAAAAAUAACGUGAUGUAUUUUAUAAGAUUUUUUCAGAUCUGGAGAUAUUGGUAUGAACAAAGACCUUUCCUUCUUUGACUAUUAUUGUGCAUUAUACUUAAGUCCUGGAAACAAUGCUUUGUAAUUUUUGUAAUGUGGCAUUCACUGACUAACCGCAGAUUCCUUUUAUUAUCUUGCUUUAAACCCAGUAAAUAUUCGUCAGGGAUGUUUAAGCAAAGCAAAUAAAAUAGAGUUUGCUAUAUACUGUAAAUUUAAUUAACUGAAAUAAGAACAUUAGGUCCACUUUUCCAAAAGAUACAUUAGCUCAGGAAUGGACAGUGGAAUAUACACUUCAUCACCUGUUGACUACUGGCUUAAUGAACUAUACUGUCAGGACAGCUGUCCUCUGGAGAGCUCUUGCUUCUCAAUCUUUUUAUUUUUCUAGUUUCCAAGAAAAGGCAGAGAACACAUAUUCCCACAAAGAGGUGCGUUUUCAGCAGUUAAAUAACAGAAGCUUCAGUUCAGCGUUCCACUCCCGUUCAGCAAAGUACUCAAUAGUGUAUUUAACUUUAUUUCUAUGGAAUACAUUUAAAGGUCUUGAUGGGAGGGUUUUGUAAAAGGUGGAACAGUGUGAAUAUAAAAAAUGUUCUCUUUUCCUGAAUUAUGCUAGUUUUUACCUCUGCCAGGGAAGUUAAUAAUAAUAGAUGUAAAUAUGAAAGAGGAUCUAAUUAAGUGCCUGGAUUUGAACUAAUAUUGCAACAUAGAUAUAUUCCAUGAUAUAGUUAUAGGCUACUUCAUAAAUUCCAUUUGUUUCAAUUAUAAUCAGGCAAAUGCUCUUAAAGUUUAGCUUGCAACUGAAGUAACAGAACUGAUUAAUGGCUGUUAUUGUUAAUUUCCAUAAUGAGUGGAGAAUAGGGUCCUGAAAUGUCAUACUGACGUAGUCUGAAAAAAGAUUUUUUUUAAAUGCUAAAAAAGAAACAUAAGCAUCUCAGUAAAAGUCAAGUAUUUAAUCACCUAAACUGCAGAACGUGAAAAGAACAUAUGUGGUCUGUUGUCAUUUCCUAGAUUUGCUUUAAAAGAUCACUUUUGAUACUUAUUUGACAAGGCCAUGAUUAUUCCUCUUUUAAAUGUAGUUUUGCUUCUGCAAGUUAAAAUUAGCUAACACAGAACUCAUGCAAUAUAAAGUUAAAGGGGUCCUAAAAGUAUGAAUUUUUCUUCACUAUAAGUAUACAGAGGGCAAUUUGGAAAAGGCCAUAAAUAGAAUCCAAACCAGUAUAUUUGGAGAGGUUUGCCAAAAUCUAAUGCAAUAGACUAGUUCAUUCUUUUAAGACAACCAUUUGUAUUUUUUAAGAUGGCUAGAGAAGGAGGGAAAACGUGGUCCUAUGAGAAAAUGAAGAGUAAAAGCUGUGACUGGUAUGAUACAUGGAAUGAAGAAAUUGCAAGUUGCUUAAUGGGAACAUUUUGGGGGUUAAACUGAAUGCAAUUAAAGAAAUACCUCAUCUAUCAUCAUCUUUUUUUUUUUUUUCUAAAAUAAACAACCCUCAAAGUUCUGAAUAUUGGCAAAGCUUUAAGGCCAAGAGUGUAACUACUAAUAUCUUACCUUUGGGCAACCCAUUUAAAUCUUUCUCUGACAGCAUACCUUUUUUAUACCGAUUGUUCCUGGUUUUAUUUGGUUUUUCAUUAGCAGAUUUUAUUACAUUUUAUCACUCUGAAUGGAAUGAACAUAAUUAGUUUUGAUAAAGAACAUACUGGAACUUUUGGUCAGUGCUGUUUAUCUUUACCAAAUUGCUUAGGUUCUCAACAAUCGCUCAGCAAUCUCAUAGCCAGACUUAUUUCUAAUAUACUGUAAUAAUUGCUCUCUUAUUUUUAUGUGGAUAGCUAUUGAGGAUUUGAAAAUUACAGUUAUGUCAUCCCCAUUCUGCUGUGGCAACAGAAGAAAAUGUCCACAGUAGACAUAGGGAUGAAAUAAAAGUUCACCUCCACAAUGAAGGGUCUGUAGAAGCACAGACGGUGCACGCUGCCGUGGCCUUUAGCUGGUUGACUUCAAGAAUUUGCAACCUUACGACUUCUGCCUUUAAACACAUUUUCUUUGAGAUUUUUACUGCCACUAGAUUUUUGCCUUCUCUUUGAAAGGACUAGGCUAAAUGAUUAAUUUUGCUUUCUACAUCGGAUGUGAAAUAUUGCUUGGAAACCCCCCAGUGUUGAAAGGCAGCACAACAAGAUCAGGAAGUGCCUGAUUUGUGUCAGCUGCCGCUGGGCAUCCGUGGAGGAGGAACACACUGUACUGGUGCCAGUACCACCACUCUGCCUACAGGUCUAGCUACCAAGCCAUUACAAUGCAAGUGAUUAAACUUUUUAGCCUGUGAGUAUGCCAGGCCCCAAUAGUAACACCCUGGUAAAGAGCAAAUCUAGACCAAACAGUGUAUUUUAAGGUUAUUUCCUUCCAAUCACUUUCUUACUUCUGUGCACUUACUAAACUUGUGGGAUGGUUCUGUUAAAACCAGUAGAAGUUUUUCUCUGUUACAGAUUCAACAGGGUGAGAACUCACCAAUACCUGUUUCCUUCUCUUCUGUUUCAUCCGUGCCAGCAAAGAGCAGCAUGAGGAUUUGUACUACAAAACAGUCCUUUAGGUCCAGCUAAAAUCGUACUGUCUUUCUUAUGUUAGUCACUGUUGUUCCUCAGAGGAGCACAGGAAAGCAUUUUAUACAAUCAAAUCCUAAAUUCAGCUACAGAAUCCAUAAAUGAAUGAUAACUUUCCACCUGUUCUCAUAGCCCUGUCUGGUUAUACGGGAGACUUGUAAAUGUAGUGUCUUGUUAAAGACACAAGCUUGCUGGGUUGCAGUUUCCUAUACUUCUUUUUAAUUCCCAUUUCAUUACACAAACCUAGUAACUUCUGUUUGACUAGGAGAUAACCGUUAUUGGCUAAACUUCAAAAAAGCAUACAGUUCUGAUUUGAAGGCAGCAAAAUAUGAAGUGUAUACUACUUUCCAUUGGAAGUAAUUAACAAGUAGUAAGUAAUAACCAUUAACAAUGGUUAAUAUCUAAGUUAAUAAUAUAUAUACCUUAUUUCUACUUUAAAUUUUGUCUAACUACAAAUUACAAACUUAUGAUGCCUUUCCUUCCUAGACUAAAGAGUCCUUUGGCACCUGGUGUUUUCUUCUUAUGAUUGCACUUUCAUAUUCCAAUCUUUUUUUUAGAGGUUGAACAGAUGGAGUCCUUAGGGUCUAUCAUUGUAUGGCACUUUCUCCAAUUCCUGAGUCAGAGCUGUGGCUGUUUUGCAUACCUUCUCCAGUUUCUCAGUAGACUAUGAAAAAUGUGGACAUUGGGAAUGGAUGCAGUGUUCUGGGAUUAGUUUCACUUGAGCCAUAUAACAGAAGAAAUAUCAUCCCCUCAGAAUUGAGGAGUCCCUACUCCUCUGCCUCUGAUGAAUUGCAUGUCGUCUGUGACUCCUAAAUUGAUUCAAGGGUUUUCACCACCCAACCAACCUGCUGCAGGGUGCACCUUCAUUCUGAGUUAGACACAUUCCAUGUAUAACUCCAUAGGUUUCAAACACAUUUUGAGUAGGCUAAAUUUACCAUGUAAUCUAUGUCACUUUGCAGUUGCCUUUUUAUAUACCAUUUCAACAUUCUUUGGUCACCUGAAAAUUUUGCGUGCAGUCAUUUUCUAAUUAAUUCCAAAUAAUGCAAGGAAAUUUUGCAGGGACGGGACCUAAUACUACUUCCUGUGAAAGCACCCGCUUUUGACAACAGUUUCUCAUUGGCAGCUACAUUCAAGGCAUACCAGUUAGCCAGUGCUAAUUCAAUUCAGUGUAUGCUCAGCUUGUACUGAGUUAUUUUAACCUGUUGACUGCUUGGUUCAAGUAGCAAAACAGUUUGGCGUUCAGGAGACUUGCAAGCCUAAACCUGGUGUGGUGGCUGGUAGCCGUAGCGUUCAAGCUCUCUGCCCUGCAGGCAGCACUGAACCUAGAGCAUCCCCUACUGCUUGAAUCUCGGGAUGACAUGCCAAGGCCAGGAGCCCGGGGAGCAAAGUGGCCCUUUAGUUUGGUGUUUACUCUGCUGUUCUGCAAGAGGCAAUCUCUUACCCCUUAGGUGUUGUUUACUCUUGUACAGAAAAAAAAGAAAGCGAAAUCUUGUUUGAAACUGCCCUAAAAGAAGGACUUUGAUGUUUUCUCACAGCAAUUCCAUUCUUUGUCUCAACUUCUACACCAAUUUUCUAAAAGCUCUCUGUGCAAAACAUAAGAUGAAAACUCUAUUAAAUAAAGAGGAUAUAAAAUAAACUAUCCUAGUUAUACUUUAUAUCCCAAAACAUACUAACAGCAACCAUGCCUAUAAUGUCGAAUUAAGGGAAAAUAUGGAGGUCCUUCUCUAAGGAGUAAAACUUCAAGUUACUUUUUCACAUUUCAUGAUUCCAGAGGGUAGUCGCUGUUUAAGUCAGAGCUGUUUAAAUCAGUAAUUCAGAUGUAGCCUUCUGGGUAGCAUACAUAACUGGAGAGUUUUGGUGGCUGCAUUUACCCAACAGGACACAUUAUAGAUCAUGUAGGUGAGUAAUUAAUGCUAUAAAAUAGCUACUCCAUUUCCAUCACUAUGGACAAAUCCUUAUUCUGAUUUUCCUGAUUCUGAGUAUGACAGGUUGGUUUAUCAUUGCUAAAUGGUGAAAUUUGCUCCAUCUUACUGAAAUGCUACUGUGAUAUAUAUAGCUAAUUACUUUUCCAUUGUUCUCCUUCAGUGUGUGUACUGUUGUUUUUGAGUAGUUUCUGUACAUCUGCCAUCACAGUUUGCAGCGCAGGGCAUCAUUGCUAUCCCUAUUUUACAUAUAGAAACUCAGGCAUAGAUUGUUCCAAGGUCACAUAGGAAGUCAUGGGCAAAGGCUGGCAAAAACCCAAAUGUCCUGAAACUGAGUCUAAUGUUUAAACCAUAAGGACGACAUUCCUCAAACACUUAAUCUAGGGUGCUCUACUGGAAUUUUGUAGUAGCAGUGUGCAGUAGUACUAUGGUAGCCUGUUGAUUGCCUAAUUUAGCAGCUACAAGUUGAAUAUGGAGAGGAUGAGAAGAUGUGGAAUUUCUAAUCAUAUCUGAAGGGAUUAGGGAGGCUGUGGUCAAAUUCUAAAAUUGGAUACUACCUAUUACCAUGUUUUAGUUGGGAGGAGCUGGGGGAUGGGGGAAUACCAAGGUUAACAAUAAUUUGCAUCCUAAAAUCUUUUGUAGCAUCAAAUAAGAUGAGUAAUAGCUUAUCUACGAUAAUACCAAAUAUAGUUGUAGAACCCAUUGUCUUCUAAUUCCAGAAAGCUUUAUGACAGAAAUGAACUUCAUCUGUCACGGCCUACAGAUAUUAUUUUCCCAAAGAUCAUUAAUUUCAUUAUUUUUUCACCAAGUACUCACUGAAAACAUAAGUAAAAGUAGAGUAUUGCACUGCAAGGCUAUCAGUACUGCUGGGAAAGACUCAUGGCUUUAGCAACAGAAAUAGGGCAGGUCUGAGAGUUGCUAAUUACUGUUGUUUACAGGUCCACAUGGACUACUUACUGGCUCAAACAGGCAUUUCUUGAAUUGCUAGGUAGAUGUGACAGUAGUAAACCAAAAUUGCUAUUUAAUAUCAGUGAUAUUUUAGCUAUCUGCCAUUCAUUAUAAUUGUCUGUUAGGUUUCUCCUGCUUCAUUCAACCCUCAAUCCUGCAUUUGUUUCUAGAAUUUUACAAGCCUUAUUUGUCUUUUUCUUCACUUGCAAUCUUAAAUUAUUUUCAUUGUUUUCUAUGACACAGUGAUGGUGUUCAUAAAACCAGAGCUGCACUGAUUUUCUAAGCAUGUUAGUAUUUUAGCAAUGCAGAUAUUUCCUGAUCCAUAAUACGCAAUAGACAGGUUACCCUGUGCAACUAGAUGGAAGAUUAAAUCAGUGCUUUUGUUAGCCAGUGGAAGCCACAGGCUUUUGCUAAAUUAUCCAGAAUGCCUUUGCAUGACCAUCUGUUUCAAAUGGAAAUGAAUCUUUUUGGCUCUAAUUAUAAAUCUCUUAUUAUUUUUCUUUUCUUCUUUUCUAACCCAACCUGCCCUUUGGGAAAUUGCUUGAAAGCUCCCUGUAUUGUAUGAAAUUACAUGGAGUGGGAUUACAUGAAUGGCUGAUAGUGUGAUUUCAUUUUUUUAAUUAACCCUCCUAUUAAUAAUUUUAAGCCUACUUGUGCAGUGGCUGCAAGCUGAAGCAAAAAUCUGUGUUACAAAACUGUUUACAAAUUUGUUACAAGAUACUGUAUUAUAAAGCAGUCUAAGUACAAACAUGUUGAAACAUAUGGAAAAUCCACCCAAAUCUUGCCAAAUUGUUCCAACGUUUAAUUACCUGGAUCACAAAAAGUGUGCACCUUCUUUCUAGUCCUCAGAUUGUAAUUCUUUAUGUGAUGCAAGUAUGCAUAAAUUGAGACCAAACACAAAAAGCUUGUACUUCAGGUGCUGUUCUCCAACAAAGGAUUACGCAUCUCAGUAAGGAUUUGUUGUUAAACUGUUCUGUAGAUUUCUUUCCAAGAGGGAGUGAAGUCUUUCUUUUAAAUUAAAUGAAUGUGUGGGAGGAGGAGGAAGCGCAGAGCUCUGGGCUGGAGUGACGGGGUUUGUCCUCACUACUGGUAUGUUUCUCUUGGGAGAUCUUUGCUUUGAUCCCGUCAGGACCAGUAAGGGUAGCUUUCCUUUCCCUUCCUCUUGGUCGAGUGGCUUCUCUUUCAUUAAUGUUGCUGGCAGACCAUUCUGCAUUUGGUUUAUUCUAGCUGGGCUGGCUAACAUGCCUUUCUCAUCCAUCAUAUACUUUUCUGUUCCGCCUACCCAGUCUGAAUCAUAGUACUGUCUUAACUUGCAUCUUCUGUGGUGCAGAGUAACAGCUCCUUUUUAUGACCAAUAAAGAAAAGAAAAACAAACUGAGUUACACUUCUUGGCACAUUUUCCAACUCCACUAGAGAAUUUGGCCCUUGCUAGUCAGUAAGAAGACCUUGAGCAAGCAGAGGGAUUCUUUUUCCUGCCAAGCUGUCUUCUUGAGCACAGGCCAGCUUGUAGCAAUGCAACGUGGAGAUGAGUCAGUGAAAAGCGGAGUUAGGUAAAUGCUGUUAACCAAUGUUACAGAAAUUUCUGCAGAGUCUCCGGAGACAACGGCAUUUUUUUCUCCAACCAGAGAAGUGGGGAGAUACAUGAACACGCCUAAAUGAAAUCCUAGGGCACGUGCUGGUCUUCUCAUAACUUUUACCCCUUCGAUUUUCAGCUCUUACCCAUCUUCAUCAUCAGCUUUUCAUGCAUGUCAUCACAAUGCAGACCUACAUGUAGCACCAUUUAUGAAAAAGAAAUAGUUUAUUUCAUCCUCUUCUGAAAAGAAUUCCAGUUUAGAAAAGUGCUAGAUUAUCUUUUUAUCUUCUUGAAAGUAUUUUCUCUCCAGAAUGACCUGAGUAACUUUUAGCAAAACAUAGUUUACUCAAAUGAUCUCAUAAAAUUCUUAAAUUAAAAGCAAUAUUUUCUGGAAAUAAAAAUGAAAAGAAAUGAAAAUGAGAAAUAUUUCUUGUUUAGUAAAGCUAGCUUUUGCUCUCCAGAAACUGAUCCAGAUGAAGCAUACACAGGAGAGUUGCAUUAAAUAAAGAAGAUCUUUAAUUUUCAGGAGAGUCUUAGAUGUUAGCGAAUGUCUCCAUUCUUCCCUCUUGGUCAGUUAGACUGUACUCAUUAGGUCCAUUCUAAAUGUAAAUUUUGUACCAGGAUAAUUGUUGGUGUGACUUUGUAGUAAUGUGAUUUUAUACCAAUACAAUUAAACCAAUACAAUAUGACCAUGGUCACUGCUAUGUUGGUGUAAUGGGGUUUUGUAGUAACAUACCGGUAGUCUUUUCCCCUUUUCAUGCAGAAAAUGGAUAGAUAUACUAAUGCUGGCUUCUUUGGAGGCAUAAAUAUUCUUUUUGCCCUCAUAAGGAAAAUUGUCUUGCUUUUCAUUGUUCUUGGUACAAGGUAAAGAAUCCUUCCAGCACACUUUGAAAGUGCUUGACCAUCAUAACACUUGUCUAACACCUUCGAACUGUGUUGAUCUGCCUGCCUUAUCAUUUUACAAGGUGAUUCGUACAAGGCCUCUCUCUAAGUAAACCACCCAGAGCUCAGAUACCGUGUCCCAAAGUCUUUCAUCCUAACAUUGUUACCUCAGCACGGUUUUUAACUAUAUGCUUUCUCUUUACUAAGCAGUAGCACAGAAAGUGUAUCUAUGCUAAAGCAAAUGUUUGAUCCAGCUUUUAAAGGAGUCUUGAGAAGAUUUAGCUGUUAGCUUAUAGAAUGACAGAGGCAGUAUCUUCACACUCCUCCCAUCUCCUCCCCCCACCCUUUCUGCAUUAUAUUCAAUGAGUGAAAAUGAUUGACUAUGAUUCAUUCUUAUUCCCUCCCAAGCUGUGCUCUUCCCUUAAAAGUACAAUAUUUCUUUUCAUGUUCUCAGUGAAUUUUCACUACAUUUUCAUCCUCUUAGGAACAGCUGUAACUUCUUUCUCCUGUGUUUCCCAGAGAGAAGCUUAGAACAGAUCUAAAGUAUAGGUAUCUGAGGAACAUGAGAGAAGAGCUGAUAUUAUACCUGGAAUCAACUCUGUGAAUCUCUUAGAGAAUAACAUGUCAGCUCUUGGCAAAAGGAAGCCUGCUCUUAGAGCUGUUUAACUGGACCUUAAAGUUUCUGGGAUAUUAAAUGUAGAGUAAUAGAAUUAGAGAAGCAAGAGAUGGAUGAUAUCCUAAAAUUCUGUUCAUUUCCCUGCAAAUGAAGAAUGGCUCUUCCCACUUGGCCUCUGACAAAAAUAUGUUAGAUAUUGGACAGAUAUAACUGGCUUGUGUAAAGCAGGAAGGAUCUUGAUGUUUCAUGCAGUACUCAUGUAUGCUUGAAGGACAAACAACAAAGGCAUUCAUCUGGAUUUUUGCAGAUGAGUGUUUUAAAAGUAUUCUCUAUGAUGUCUUUGUAUACAUUCGGUACUAGGCAAUAAAAGAUAAGCCAAGAGACGUGCAGUCGUUAUCUUAUGAUGUUAAUGGUCUCUCAGCAAGAAGCAUAGUUUCAUUAAGCAAGCUGCUCUUGGAAUUUGGGCACCUUUGCUUUUCCAUUCAUAAAUCUACUGAAUCGAUGUAUUUUGAGUGUUUAUCACUAGCAUUAGGCCCUCUCUGUACAUAUACUCCUUAGGAAAUGAAGCUUUGAAUUUUUCUUUUGGUUUCCAGCUGCUCUGCUUUGGGAUGUGAAAAGUGUGCUCAGACUCAUUAAAUCUACAGGAUUUGGAAGUUGUUCUUGUGGUUACACCACAGACAAUAUUGCAUGCGAGACCCAAGUGCUGUAACACUUUGGCAUGAAGCACAGCGUAUGCAAGAGUUUAGCAGCACUUCCAGAACUGGCUCUAACACGUCUCCUGUUUUUCAGCUGCAGACUAAAAGGUGUUUUUUAAAAAAGUCAGAAGUUAAACAGAUGUCCUUGGAGAAGCUGAAGAUGGAAAUAUUUCUCAAAUGAGCAAUUUCACACACGCAGAGUGGAGGCUGCCUUGAGACAUCAAGUUGCAAUUUUCGGUAAAUAACAGAUAAAGUAGAAGCAACUUCUGUGCCACUCUUGAUGGAUGGCAGGAAAAAGCAGAAGGAAACAUUAGCUCUGCUUCUCUUUUGCUUUUGCACUGCUUUCAUCUACAGUGUGAAAUUCCAAGUUACUGUGAAAAAGCUGUCCAAGGAAUAUUCUUGGCAAUACUGCAAGCAGAAAGUACAGGAAACCUCACAAGAGAGUUUGUUCCAGCAACAUUGCCAUCCACGUUUCACAGCUGCAAGGACAUUCAAACCAAAUCUAAACACCAUCUUUUCCCAUAUACAGAACCUUGCUGAGGUAAAAGUAGCAGGACCAGAAAAGUUUAAUUAAAUUAUACCACAAUCAUGACCCCCUGUAUUAAAGGAAAAUUUUUCAUCAGUGACAAAAAUUUCACCAACUAAAAAGGAGCCAACAUAGUAAACCCAUUUACUGCAUGACACACUAGCCACCAAAGAGGAAAGCACAGGGAAAGACUGUUAAGGGCAAACACUUCCCUGCAAGUUUUUGUAGCCAUGUUUGGCAGCCAUUUGUAAGUGAAGAAGAGCUGGUACAGUAAUGAAUAUUGGAAAAAGGAGGGUAGUAUCAUCUUUCUCAUUUGUUUCAAGUGCUGUUUCAUAACAUACUUCUGUUCUAGUGUGCCAGUGACCUUUUUUAAGGACAUAUUUUUUAAUGUAAUUGAUCCUAGGUUAACUUUAUGAAAGCAUAUAUCAGUAAAGAAACAAGGUAUAUAGAUUUGGAGGGAGGAGGGGUGUUUAACCCUUCCAGUACUCUCAAGAAGGCCUGCUUUAGCUGCUAAGCUUUACUGCAUAGGUAUAUUGGCUUCAUCAGUGAAUGAAAUUAGUUCUAUCACUGUUAUAAAAUUCUAACUUUCAUAUUAAGCUCUUCGCCUCAUCUAAAAGGUCUGCAAGGUAAAAGGGGUCCUGACCACUCCCUUCUUCCCCUCUUUUUGGCCAAGAGAACAUUCCCUCAGUGAAGACACUAUGAAGAACAUACAAGGCUCUAUUGUAAGGACCUGCCUCCAAGCCCUACUGAGGAAGCCAAGCCAUGCUGACUUUGCCACUAAAAUAGGGAGGCCUUCACUGCUGAAAGAGUCAUUUCAGCUAAUUCAGAGAGACCAGUGUGCUUCAAGCUUAUCACUUUCACUGAGAAUGAAGACAGCUACAAAAUAAUUAUAGACCUGGUAGCUCACAAUGUAUUGACCCAGGAAGAUAGUCUCAUGUGGUGAGAUUGAGAAGGUGAUGAAAGAAGCAACACAGCUAGAGUCCUGUCUUCACGUUGUGAAGUAAAGAAGCAAUCUUCCAUCACAGAUGAACUUAUUCUUUUACAGAUGAUGGUGCUUUUUUACCCUUUGCAUUGCCUGCCUUUCUCCAAGACUAAUGCCACCUGCAGCAGCUUUACCAUGAUGACAUUUCUUAGAAGGUGUUAACACUGUCCAAUAUAUCUAGCUACAACCAGCUCUCUGUAUGUACUGCUGGUCAUGGCUUUUCCUGGUGUGUGACAAUCCAGGCUUUCUCAUUGGAGAACCGUCAAGAAUCUACUUCUCUGAAUGUUUAUGAACACAUGGUGGAACAGCUCCAGCAAGAGAUUGAGCAAGAGCUUCCCCGUGGAAAGAAAACAUGCCCUGGAUCAGGUUGCUCAGCCACGCCAUCUCAGCUCUUUAUGACUCACUGAGCUGCAGGGCUGUUUAGGACUGGAGCAGUGGUUUCCAAAGCGAGCACUGGGGGCUCUUGACCAGAAGGUGUUCAGAAGGGAGCUGUUCUAGCAGAAGACAUUAGGACACACCUGCCUGAAGUCUAGCAAUUAGACUGCCUUCAUCACUUGGAAAUGACAGAGUGGAAUCCUGCCUCUCUGCUUUAGGGGACGUGAAUCAAGGCUCCGAAUAGCGCUCCCCAGAAGUGUCUUUGAUUAGUCAUGGAGGGAAAGCAGGGAUGAUCUUGUCUCCAGAGGCAAAGGUCUUCACGUCCUUCAGAGCUGCUGAGGCCUCCAGUGUCUUGCAGCGUAACCAGUCCUACUUCCGCAGCUCCUGGUCUGGGUUUCUCAGGUUGGACCCCACGCUUUGGGACGACCAUCGG
Molecule: long non-coding RNA, 11603 nt
Organism: Dromaius novaehollandiae (emu)
Lineage: Eukaryota; Metazoa; Chordata; Aves; Casuariiformes; Dromaiidae
Exons: 9
Source: RefSeq, a predicted model, not a curated record